This 64-nucleotide ribosomal RNA is filed under the name Anopheles belenrae. RNAcentral's name for it is "partial 5.8S ribosomal RNA". The record is from RNAcentral. Lineage: Eukaryota; Metazoa; Arthropoda; Insecta; Diptera; Culicidae.
CAUUGAUAAGUUGAACGCGUAUUGCACGUCGUGGGAACCUACCAUGACGUACACAUACUUGAGC